GAUUUCUGGCGUGGCGCACUUGACCCGAGUCAGGUUUCAAUCUGGCUUGUUGUGUCUUGUGCACCUGCCAUCUCGUGCCGAAUACCUGGCCCUUUUAAGAUUGGAUGAAUGGAGUUGAUGGUAGAUUUUCUUCGGAUUAUUUAUCAUCUUCUCUUUACUCGUCCUUUCAAGGAAGGGAACAACCAGUGUUCGGCCCUUUUACUUUGAAAAAAUUAGAGUGUUUAAAGCAGGCUUGCGCUAUGAAUACAUUAGCAUGGAAUAAUAAUGUUAGGACUUCUUGUUCCUAAUGUUUUGUUGGUUUUUAGAGGAACGAAGUAAUGAUUGAUAGGGACAGUUGGGGGUGCUAGUAUUUAGCGGCCAGAGGUGAAAUUCUUGGAUUCGCUAAAGACUAACUAAUGCGAAAGCAUU
This 408-nucleotide ribosomal RNA is filed under the name uncultured Sandonidae. RNAcentral's name for it is "bacterial SSU rRNA". The stretch from base 72 to 408 matches the Rfam family "Eukaryotic small subunit ribosomal RNA", at positions 627 to 955 of the family's 1831-position model. Lineage: Eukaryota; Cercozoa; Glissomonadida; Viridiraptoridae. The record is from RNAcentral.